RNAcentral lists this ribosomal RNA (460 nucleotides) under uncultured bacterium. Its description in RNAcentral is "partial 16S ribosomal RNA". It matches the Rfam family "Bacterial small subunit ribosomal RNA", at positions 338 to 795 of the family's 1533-position model. The record is from RNAcentral.
CCUACGGGUGGCAGCAGUGAGGAAUUUUGGUCAAUGGGCGCAAGCCUGAACCAGCUAAGUCGCGUGUGGGAUGAAGGCUCUAUGGUUUGUAACCUCCUUAUAUGAGGGCGUAAAGGUAUCCACGUGUGAAUAUUUGCGUGUACCCUAUGAAUAAGCAUCGGAUAACUCCGUGCCAGCCGCCGCGGUAAUACGGAGGAUGCGAGCGUUAUCCGGAUUUAUUGGGUUGAAAGGGUGCGUAGGUUGUUUGGUAAGUCAGCAGUGAAAGUUUGGGGCUCAACCAUAAAAUUGCCUUUGAAACUGGAAGACUUGAGUGUGUUUGAGGUAGGCGGAAUGCGUGGUGUAGCGGUGAAAUGCGUAGAUAUCACGCAGAACACCGAUGGCGAACGCAGCUCACGAAUACGCGAUUGACGCUGAUGCACGAAAGCGUGGGUAUCAAACAGGAUUAGAUACCCGGGUAGUC